GCAAGUCGUGGGGCAGCAUGUCCCGCAGCAAUGCGGGAUGAUGGCGACCGGCAAACGGGUGCGGAACACGUACACAACCUUCCUUUUAGUGGAGAAUAGCCCAGGGAAACUUGGAUUAAUACUCCGUAACAUAUAGAAGUGGCAUCACUUUUAUAUUAUAGCAGCAAUGCGCUAGAAGAUGGGUGUGCGGCUGAUUAGAUAGUUGGCGGGGUAACGGCCCACCAAGUCGACGAUCAGUAACUGGUGUGAGAGCACGACCAGUCACACGGGCACUGAGACACGGGCCCGACUCCUACGGGAGGCAGCAGUAAGGAAUAUUGGUCAAUGGACGCAAGUCUGAACCAGCCAUGCCGCGUGGAGGAUGAAGGUCCUCUGGAUUGUAAACUUCUUUUAUUUGGGAAGAAACCCAUCUUUUCUAAGAUGGUUGACGGUACCAGAUGAAUAAGCACCGGCUAACUCCGUGCCAGCAGCCGCGGUAAUACGGAGGGUGCAAGCGUUAUCCGGAUUCACUGGGUUUAAAGGGUGCGUAGGUGGGCAAGUAAGUCAGUGGUGAAAUCUCCGGGCUUAACCCGGAAACUGCCAUUGAUACUGUUUGUCUUGAAUACUGUGGAGGUCAGCGGAAUAUGUCAUGUAGCGGUGAAAUGCUUAGAUAUGACAUAGAACACCAAUUGCGAAGGCAGCUGGCUACACAAAUAUUGACACUGAGGCACGAAAGCGUGGGGAUCAAACAGGAUCAGAUACCCUGGUAGUCCACGCCCUAAACUAUGGAUACUCGACAUUUGCGAUAAACUGCAAGUGUCUGAGCGAAAGCAUUAAGU
This 818-nucleotide ribosomal RNA is filed under the name uncultured Sphingobacteriales bacterium. RNAcentral describes it as "bacterial SSU rRNA". It matches the Rfam family "Bacterial small subunit ribosomal RNA", at positions 57 to 865 of the family's 1533-position model. Lineage: Bacteria; Pseudomonadati; Bacteroidota; Sphingobacteriia; Sphingobacteriales. The record is from RNAcentral.